UUGGUGAAAGUGUUGCAGAAAUCAAGC
Molecule: non-coding RNA, 27 nt
Filed under: Rattus norvegicus (Norway rat)
Lineage: Eukaryota; Metazoa; Chordata; Mammalia; Rodentia; Muridae
Source: RNAcentral